GAUGAAGAACGUAGCAAAAUGCGAUAAGUAGUGUGAAUUGCAGAAUUCAGUGAAUCAUCGAAUCUUUGAACGCACAUUGCGCCCGCCAGCAUUCUGGCGGGCAUGCCUGUUCGAGCGUCAUUUCAACCCUCGACCUCCCCUUGGGGAGGUCGGCGUUGGGGACCGGCAGCACACCGCCGGCCCUGAAAUGGAGUGGCGGCCCGUCUGCGGCGACCUCUGCGUAGUAAUACAGCUCGCACCGGAACCCCGACGCGGCCACGCCGUAAAACACCCAACUUCUGAACGUUGACCUCGAAUCAGGUAGGACUACCCGCUGAACUUAAGCAUAUCAAUAAGCGGAGGA
This 343-nucleotide unclassified non-coding RNA is filed under the name soil metagenome. RNAcentral's name for it is "partial contains 5.8S ribosomal RNA, internal transcribed spacer 2, and large subunit ribosomal RNA". The stretch from base 1 to 120 matches the Rfam family "5.8S ribosomal RNA", at positions 35 to 154 of the family's 154-position model. The record is from RNAcentral.